CAUUACCGAGUGAGGGCCCUCUGGGUCCAACCUCCCACCCAUGUUUAUUGUACCUUGUUGCUUCGGCGGGCCCGCCUCACGGCCGCCGGGGGGCUUCUGCCCUCUGGCCCGCGCCCGCCGAAGACACCAUUGAACACUGUCUGAAGAUUGCAGUCUGAGCAAUUAGCUAAAUAAGUUAAAACUUUCAACAACGGAUCUCUUGGUUCCGGCAUCGAUGAAGAACGCAGCGAAAUGCGAUACGUAAUGUGAAUUGCAGAAUUCAGUGAAUCAUCGAGUCUUUGAACGCACAUUGCGCCCCUUGGUAUUCCGGGGGGCAUGCCUGUCCGAGCGUCAUUGCUGCCCUCAAGCACGGCUUGUGUGUUGGGCCCCGUCCUCCUUCCCGGGGGACGGGCCCGAAAGGCAGCGGCGGCACCGCGUCCGGUCCUCGAGCGUAUGGGGCUUUGUCACCCGCUCUUGUAGGCCCGGCCGGCGCUUGCCGACAACCAUCAAUCUUUUUUCAGGUUGACCUCGGAUCAGGUAGGGAUACCCGCUGAACUUAAGCAUAUCAAUAA
Molecule: ribosomal RNA, 551 nt
Filed under: uncultured Penicillium
Lineage: Eukaryota; Fungi; Ascomycota; Eurotiomycetes; Eurotiales; Aspergillaceae
Description: eukaryotic LSU rRNA
Rfam family: 5.8S ribosomal RNA (bases 180-333)
Source: RNAcentral